GACGAACGCUGGCGGCGUGCUUAACACAUGCAAGUCGAACGGAAAGGCCCUGCUUUUGUGGGGUGCUCGAGUGGCGAACGGGUGAGUAACACGUGAGUAACCUGCCCUUGACUUUGGGAUAACUUCAGGAAACUGGGGCUAAUACCGGAUAGGAGCUCCUGCUGCAUGGUGGGGGUUGGAAAGUUUCGGCGGUUGGGGAUGGACUCGCGGCUUAUCAGCUUGUUGGUGGGGUAAUGGCUUACCAAGGCUUUGACGGGUAGCCGGCCUGAGAGGGUGACCGGCCACAUUGGGACUGAGAUACGGCCCAGACUCCUACGGGAGGCAGCAGUGGGGAAUAUUGCACAAUGGGCGGAAGCCUGAUGCAGCAACGCCGCGUGCGGGAUGACGGCCUUCGGGUUGUAAACCGCUUUCGCCUGUGACGAAGCGUGAGUGACGGUAAUGGGUAAAGAAGCACCGGCAAACUACGU
Molecule: ribosomal RNA, 467 nt
Filed under: uncultured bacterium
Lineage: Bacteria
Description: partial 16S ribosomal RNA
Rfam family: Bacterial small subunit ribosomal RNA
Source: RNAcentral